Molecule: ribosomal RNA, 640 nt
Filed under: Vreelandella venusta
Lineage: Bacteria; Pseudomonadati; Pseudomonadota; Gammaproteobacteria; Oceanospirillales; Halomonadaceae
Description: bacterial SSU rRNA
Rfam family: Bacterial small subunit ribosomal RNA
Source: RNAcentral
ACACGACAGUCGAGCGGUAGCACAGAGAAGCUUGCUUCUUGGGUGACGAGCGGCGGACGGGUGAGUAAUGCAUAGGAAUCUGCCCGAUAGUGGGGGAUAACCUGGGGAAACCCAGGCUAAUACCGCAUACGUCCUACGGGAGAAAGGGGGCUUCGGCUCCCGCUAUGGGAUGAGCCUAUGUCGGAUUAGCUAGUUGGUGAGGUAACGGCUCACCAAGGCCACGAUCCGUAGCUGGUCUGAGAGGAUGAUCAGCCACAUCGGGACUGAGACACGGCCCGAACUCCUACGGGAGGCAGCAGUGGGGAAUAUUGGACAAUGGGCGCAAGCCUGAUCCAGCCAUGCCGCGUGUGUGAAGAAGGCCCUCGGGUUGUAAAGCACUUUCAGCGAGGAAGAACGCCUAGCGGUUAAUACCCGCUAGGAAAGACAUCACUCGCAGAAGAAGCACCGGCUAACUCCGUGCCAGCAGCCGCGGUAAUACGGAGGGUGCAAGCGUUAAUCGGAAUUACUGGGCGUAAAGCGCGCGUAGGUGGCUUGAUAAGCCGGUUGUGAAAGCCCCGGGCUCAACCUGGGAACGGCAUCCGGAACUGUCAAGCUAGAGUGCAGGAGAGAAGGUAGAAUUCCCGGUGUAGCGGUGAAAUGC